RNAcentral lists this ribosomal RNA (375 nucleotides) under uncultured bacterium. RNAcentral describes it as "bacterial SSU rRNA". It matches the Rfam family "Bacterial small subunit ribosomal RNA", at positions 523 to 898 of the family's 1533-position model. The record is from RNAcentral.
AUACGUAGGGGGCGAGCGUUGUCCGGAAUUACUGGGCGUACAGCGCGCGCAGGCGGCUUGUUAAGUCAGGUGUCAAAAUGCGGGGCUCAACCCCGUAUCGCACUUGAACCUGGCAGGCUUGAGUGCAGGAGAGGGAAGUGGAAUUCCUAGUGUAGCGGUGAAAUGCGUAGAUAUUAGGAGGAACACCAGUGGCGAAGGCGACUUCCUGGACUGUAACUGACGCUCAGGCGCGUAAGCUAGGGGAGCAAACAGGAUUAGAGACCCUGGUAGUCCUAGCCGUAAACGAUGGGUACUAGGUGUUGGGGGUGACAAUCCCCCAGUGCCGCAGUUAACGCAGUAAGUACCCCGCCUGGGGACUACGGCCGCAAGGCUGAA